This 1984-nucleotide ribosomal RNA is filed under the name Staphylococcus aureus. Its description in RNAcentral is "bacterial LSU rRNA". It matches the Rfam family "Bacterial large subunit ribosomal RNA", at positions 310 to 2297 of the family's 2925-position model. The record is from RNAcentral. Lineage: Bacteria; Bacillati; Bacillota; Bacilli; Caryophanales; Staphylococcaceae.
CGGAGUUACAAAGGACGACAUUAGACGAAUCAUCUGGAAAGAUGAAUCAAAGAAGGUAAUAAUCCUGUAGUCGAAAAUGUUGUCUCUCUUGAGUGGAUCCUGAGUACGACGGAGCACGUGAAAUUCCGUCGGAAUCUGGGAGGACCAUCUCCUAAGGCUAAAUACUCUCUAGUGACCGAUAGUGAACCAGUACCGUGAGGGAAAGGUGAAAAGCACCCCGGAAGGGGAGUGAAAUAGAACCUGAAACCGUGUGCUUACAAGUAGUCAGAGCCCGUUAAUGGGUGAUGGCGUGCCUUUUGUAGAAUGAACCGGCGAGUUACGAUUUGAUGCAAGGUUAAGCAGUAAAUGUGGAGCCGUAGCGAAAGCGAGUCUGAAUAGGGCGUUUAGUAUUUGGUCGUAGACCCGAAACCAGGUGAUCUACCCUUGGUCAGGUUGAAGUUCAGGUAACACUGAAUGGAGGACCGAACCGACUUACGUUGAAAAGUGAGCGGAUGAACUGAGGGUAGCGGAGAAAUUCCAAUCGAACCUGGAGAUAGCUGGUUCUCUCCGAAAUAGCUUUAGGGCUAGCCUCAAGUGAUGAUUAUUGGAGGUAGAGCACUGUUUGGACGAGGGGCCCCUCUCGGGUUACCGAAUUCAGACAAACUCCGAAUGCCAAUUAAUUUAACUUGGGAGUCAGAACAUGGGUGAUAAGGUCCGUGUUCGAAAGGGAAACAGCCCAGACCACCAGCUAAGGUCCCAAAAUAUAUGUUAAGUGGAAAAGGAUGUGGCGUUGCCCAGACAACUAGGAUGUUGGCUUAGAAGCAGCCAUCAUUUAAAGAGUGCGUAAUAGCUCACUAGUCGAGUGACACUGCGCCGAAAAUGUACCGGGGCUAAACAUAUUACCGAAGCUGUGGAUUGUCCUUUGGACAAUGGUAGGAGAGCGUUCUAAGGGCGUUGAAGCAUGAUCGUAAGGACAUGUGGAGCGCUUAGAAGUGAGAAUGCCGGUGUGAGUAGCGAAAGACGGGUGAGAAUCCCGUCCACCGAUUGACUAAGGUUUCCAGAGGAAGGCUCGUCCGCUCUGGGUUAGUCGGGUCCUAAGCUGAGGCCGACAGGCGUAGGCGAUGGAUAACAGGUUGAUAUUCCUGUACCACCUAUAAUCGUUUUAAUCGAUGGGGGGACGCAGUAGGAUAGGCGAAGCGUGCGAUUGGAUUGCACGUCUAAGCAGUAAGGCUGAGUAUUAGGCAAAUCCGGUACUCGUUAAGGCUGAGCUGUGAUGGGGAGAAGACAUUGUGUCUUCGAGUCGUUGAUUUCACACUGCCGAGAAAAGCCUCUAGAUAGAAAAUAGGUGCCCGUACCGCAAACCGACACAGGUAGUCAAGAUGAGAAUUCUAAGGUGAGCGAGCGAACUCUCGUUAAGGAACUCGGCAAAAUGACCCCGUAACUUCGGGAGAAGGGGUGCUCUUUAGGGUUAACGCCCAGAAGAGCCGCAGUGAAUAGGCCCAAGCGACUGUUUAUCAAAAACACAGGUCUCUGCUAAACCGUAAGGUGAUGUAUAGGGGCUGACGCCUGCCCGGUGCUGGAAGGUUAAGAGGAGUGGUUAGCUUCUGCGAAGCUACGAAUCGAAGCCCCAGUAAACGGCGGCCGUAACUAUAACGGUCCUAAGGUAGCGAAAUUCCUUGUCGGGUAAGUUCCGACCCGCACGAAAGGCGUAACGAUUUGGGCACUGUCUCAACGAGAGACUCGGUGAAAUCAUAGUACCUGUGAAGAUGCAGGUUACCCGCGACAGGACGGAAAGACCCCGUGGAGCUUUACUGUAGCCUGAUAUUGAAAUUCGGCACAGCUUGUACAGGAUAGGUAGGAGCCUUUGAAACGUGAGCGCUAGCUUACGUGGAGGCGCUGGUGGGAUACUACCCUAGCUGUGUUGGCUUUCUAACCCGCACCACUUAUCGUGGUGGGAGACAGUGUCAGGCGGGCAGUUUGACUGGGGCGGUCGCCUCCUAAAAGG